This 496-nucleotide ribosomal RNA is filed under the name uncultured bacterium. RNAcentral describes it as "partial 16S ribosomal RNA". It matches the Rfam family "Bacterial small subunit ribosomal RNA", at positions 30 to 523 of the family's 1533-position model. The record is from RNAcentral.
AUUGAACGCUGGCGGCAUGCCACACAUGCAAGUCGAACGGUAACAGGUCUUCGGAUGCUGACGAGUGGCGAACGGGUGAGUAAUACAUCGGAACGUGCCUAGUAGUGGGGGAUAACUACUCGAAAGAGUGGCUAAUACCGCAUGAGAUCUACGGAUGAAAGCAGGGGAUCGCAGGACCUUGUGCUACUAGAGCGGCCGAUGGCAGAUUAGGUAGUUGGUGGGAUAAAAGCUUACCAAGCCGACGAUCUGUAGCUGGUCUGAGAGGACGAUCAGCCACACUGGGACUGAGACACGGCCCAGACUCCUACGGGAGGCAGCAGUGGGGAAUUUUGGACAAUGGGCGCAAGCCUGAUCCAGCAAUGCCGCGUGCAGGAUGAAGGCCUUCGGGUUGUAAACUGCUUUUGUACGGAACGAAAAGCCCUGGGUUAAUACCCUGGGGUCAUGACGGUACCGUAAGAAUAAGCACCGGCUAACUACGUGCCAGCCGCCGCCGUAA